GCUGGCAUGGCUCAGUGGUUGAGCGUCAACCUAUGAACCAGGAGGUCAAGGUUCAAUUCCCUGUCCAGGCA
This 71-nucleotide transfer RNA is filed under the name Myotis lucifugus (little brown bat). It matches the Rfam family "tRNA". Rfam says of the family: Transfer RNA (tRNA) molecules are approximately 80 nucleotides in length. Lineage: Eukaryota; Metazoa; Chordata; Mammalia; Chiroptera; Vespertilionidae. The record is from Rfam by way of RNAcentral.